This 406-nucleotide ribosomal RNA is filed under the name uncultured bacterium. RNAcentral's name for it is "partial 16S ribosomal RNA". It matches the Rfam family "Bacterial small subunit ribosomal RNA", at positions 30 to 526 of the family's 1533-position model. The record is from RNAcentral.
AUUGAACGCUGGCGGCAGGCCUUACACAUGCAAGUCGAACGAGUGGCGGACGGGUGAGUAAUAUCUGGGAAACUGCCCGAUGGCGGGGGAUAACUACUGGAAACGGUAGCUAAUACCGCAUACCAUCAGAUGUGCCCAUAUGGGAUUAGCUAGUUGGUGGGGUAACGGCUCACCAAGGCAACGAUCCCUAGCUGGUCUGAGAGGAUGACCAGCCACACUGGAACUGAGACACGGGCCAGACUCCUACGGGAGGCAGCAGUGGGGAAGAUUGCACAAUGGGGGAAAGCCUGAUGCAGCCAUGACGCGUGUAUGAAGAAGGCCUUCGGGUUGUAAAGUACUUUCAGCGGGGAGGCGGUACCCGCAGAAGAAGCACCGGCUAACUACGUGCCAGCAGCCGCGGUAAUAC